Molecule: small RNA, 29 nt
Filed under: Bombyx mori (domestic silkworm)
Lineage: Eukaryota; Metazoa; Arthropoda; Insecta; Lepidoptera; Bombycidae
Description: ovarian small RNA-17228
Source: RNAcentral
GGAAUGUCCGCGGCUCAGGGGGAGCCUGU